ACUAUACAACUUGAUCGUUCAAAAUGUCAAUUAAAUUGUUUGUCAUAUUGGCCGUGGUAAUCAAUUUGUCUGGUGCUGAAAAUGGAAUUCUACAACUACUACAAAAAGUAGUCCCUCAAGACUCCAAAUUUUGGGAGCCAUACAUCGUAUCCGUCCUUAAAGAUUGGCCGAUCCACGAAUCCUAAUCCCAGCCAAAACUAAAUAUUUCAAUUCCAACAGACGAAGACGGCAUCGUCCUGCCCCCAUUUCGCUUUCUUCUCCCAUUUUACAUCGGUUUGACGGACGGUCUUGUCGAUUUGACAUCAAAAAAUACAACAGUUUACGGAUGGAGAGAGACUGAUGCCUGGACCACGUCCAAUUUUUCCUUUGGAAUAUUUUCUUUUGAAGGAUACAUCAACACCUCGCGAUUAUUGUUUGCUGGAGAUUACUUCUCAUUAAACUCACUUGAACACGUAUUUUAUGAUCCAUCACCAUAUUAUCACAAAUAUAUUGGAAAUGACGAAUACUACCUGGAAUUGACAGAUUUCUUCGCAUUUAUAAAAUUUACCUUGAAUACCCCCUUAAUUGGGAAUAUUUCAAUUACAAAUUAUGCAGUUGGUUAUAAUCCGACUCACGGAUUUCGUUGGAACUUCAAAAAUGCGACGAAAGUCCACGGCGAUUCGCGUCGGGAAUUAGAUGACGCUUAUUGGGAACUAAAUUCUCAUGCAGCUAAGCAUGUGUUUUCAACUAUGAUUUCGAGUAUCAUGCCUUUCUUAGACUGCAUCAUAAAUAAAACAGUUGGGAACUGCAACAUUUUGGAACUAAUGAUUGGACAAUAUGACUGCUUGGAUUUCACUUCACACCCUGUGAGCUGCGAAUAUAGUAAAAACUUGUGAUAUAAUUUCUAAAAUAAUUCUCGUCUGAUUUUAUUGUAAAAGGAAUAUUAUUUUAUGCAAGAAAUAAAUAUAUCAAUUUUCA
This is a long non-coding RNA of Folsomia candida, 957 nucleotides long. RefSeq lists it as uncharacterized. The transcript is spliced from 5 exons. NCBI's taxonomy places the organism in Eukaryota, Metazoa, Arthropoda, Collembola, Entomobryomorpha, Isotomidae. The record is from RefSeq and is a predicted model, not a curated record.